Molecule: ribosomal RNA, 292 nt
Filed under: Oenococcus oeni
Lineage: Bacteria; Bacillati; Bacillota; Bacilli; Lactobacillales; Lactobacillaceae
Description: partial 16S ribosomal RNA
Rfam family: Bacterial small subunit ribosomal RNA
Source: RNAcentral
CGCAAACCGGCGACGGUAAGCUAAUCUCUUAAAACUUCUCUCAGUUCGGACUGGAGUCUGCAACUCGACUCCACGAAGGCGGAAUCGCUAGUAAUCGCGAAUCAGCAUGUCGCGGUGAAUACGUUCCCGGGUCUUGUACACACCGCCCGUCAAAUCAUGGGAGUCGGAAGUACCCAAAGUCGCUUGGCUAACUUUUAGAGGCCGGUGCCUAAGGUAAAAUCGAUGACUGGGAUUAAGUCGUAACAAGGUAGCCGUAGGAGAACCUGCGGCUGGAUCACCUCCUUUCUAAGGA